Molecule: ribosomal RNA, 419 nt
Filed under: uncultured bacterium
Lineage: Bacteria
Description: partial 16S ribosomal RNA
Rfam family: Bacterial small subunit ribosomal RNA
Source: RNAcentral
GAAUAUUGGUCAAUGGAGGGAACUCUGAACCAGCCAUGCCGCGUGCAGGAGGACUGCCCUAUGGGUUGUAAACUGCUUUUGUCCAGGAAUAACCACCCCUACGUGUAGUGGCUUGAAUGUACUGGAAGAAUAAGGAUCGGCUAACUCCGUGCCCACCGCCGCGGUAAGACGGAGGAUCCGAGCGUUAGCCGGAUUUAUUGGGUUUAAAGGGUGCGUAGGCGGCUCAUUAAGUCAGGGGUGAAAGACGGCAGCUCAACUGUCGCAGUGCCUUUGAUACGGAUGAGCUUGAAUGUGGUUGAAGAUGGCGGAAUGAGACAAGUAGCGGUGAAAUGCAUAGAUAUGUCUCAGAACUCCGAUUGCGAAGGCAGCAGUCUAAGUCAUCAUUGACGCUGAUGCACGAAAGCAUGGGGAUCGAACAG